GGCUGCACUGCCCGGAGCGCGGCCUGCACCGCCGGCCGGCAAGGGCAUAGCCCCUCCGAGGGAGCCGAUGCCUGGCGAAGGGUCUCGGGGAUGUCGGUGAAGGCAUCUGGGGGGCCCGAGGGGCGGCAGCGUGCAGCGGCCGGGCCCCAUUGCCAGAGGGCCCCCGGGGUCAUUUCCUUGCAGGCGAGCAGAUCGCUGGGGAAUGAAAUGCAGAUUUACCCUUGACGCUGUGCACGCAUGGCUGAGGCUUCAGGAAGGAAGGAAGAAAAGCGCUGCCCGGCAGGCUCGGCGCUGCCCCCGCUCCUCGGGCCGACCACCCCCGCUGUCCCCCGCGCCCCAAGAGGUAUCGUCUCCAGUCCUCUCUUUCCUGCUUCGUCCUGCAGUGGGAACCAGCUUUUAGGACAGACAUCCUCACGAGCUCGAGUCCUCCCUAUUUUGGAGAGAGACGAAAAAUAGCUAUAAUGAACUGCAUACAAAGAACGCGCCUCGUUUACACAUGGCAACCAGGAAAGGACGCCUGAGCUUUGAAGAUGCCUGCUAUCGCGUUUUCGAUCAUGUUUCCCCACAUAUUACACCACGAAUUCUCCAUGUGUGGUAGUUUCAGAGUUAUACUUUUUUGUCUUGAAGAUGUUAUUUUGUUUUCCCUUGCU
This is a long non-coding RNA of Corapipo altera (White-ruffed manakin), 650 nucleotides long. RefSeq lists it as uncharacterized. NCBI's taxonomy places the organism in Eukaryota, Metazoa, Chordata, Aves, Passeriformes, Pipridae. The record is from RefSeq and is a predicted model, not a curated record. The transcript has 3 exons.